RNAcentral lists this ribosomal RNA (525 nucleotides) under uncultured microorganism. Its description in RNAcentral is "bacterial SSU rRNA". It matches the Rfam family "Bacterial small subunit ribosomal RNA", at positions 9 to 514 of the family's 1533-position model. The record is from RNAcentral.
GAGUUUGAUCGUGGCUCAGGAUGAACGCUGGCGGCGUGCCUAAUACAUGCAAGUCGAGCGAACAGACGAGGAGCUUGCUCCUCUGACGUUAGCGGCGGACGGGUGAGUAACACGUGGAUAACCUACCUAUAAGACUGGGAUAACUUCGGGAAACCGGAGCUAAUACCGAAUAAUAUAUUGAACCGCAUGGUUCAAUAGUGAAAAACGGUUUUGCUGCCACUUAUAGAUGGAUCCGCGCCGCAUUAGCUAGUUGGUAGGGUAACGGCUUACCAAGGCGACGAUGCGUAGCCGACCUGAGAGGGUGAUCGGCCACACUGGAACUGAGACACGGUCCAGACUCCUACGGGAGGCAGCAGUAGGGAAUCUUCCGCAAUGGGCGAAAGCCUGACGGAGCAACGCCGCGUGAGUGAUGAAGGUCUUCGGAUCGUAAAACUCUGUUAUUAGGGAAGAACGAAAUGUGUAAGUAACUAUGCACGUCUUGACGGUACCUAAUACAGAAAGCCACGGCUAACUACGUGCCAGCCG